RNAcentral lists this ribosomal RNA (253 nucleotides) under uncultured bacterium. RNAcentral's name for it is "partial 16S ribosomal RNA". It matches the Rfam family "Bacterial small subunit ribosomal RNA", at positions 524 to 776 of the family's 1533-position model. The record is from RNAcentral.
UACGUAGGGUGCGAGCGUUAAUCGGAAUUACUGGGCGUAAAGCGUGCGCAGGCGGUUUUGUAAGACAGCUGUGAAAUCCCCGGGCUUAACCUGGGAACUGCGGUUGUGACUACAAGACUAGAGUGCGGCAGAGGGGGGUGGAAUUCCACGUGUAGCAGUGAAAUGCGUAGAGAUGUGGAGGAACACCGAUGGCGAAGGCAGCCCCCUGGGUUGACACUGACGCUCAUGCACGAAAGCGUGGGUAGCAAACAGG